Triticum urartu is the source of this 3361-nucleotide non-coding RNA. Lineage: Eukaryota; Viridiplantae; Streptophyta; Magnoliopsida; Poales; Poaceae. The record is from RefSeq and is a predicted model, not a curated record.
ACGAGCGAAAUCCACAGCGAGCGAGCGAGGCCACAGCGAUCGAGCCAGAGGAAAAAAGGCAUCGAACCCUAGCCCCAAUCCACAGCCCCGCGCCUCUCGCUCCUCCCUCCCUCGUCCGCCGCCACUCCCUCCCACCUCCUCCUCCUGCGCCUUAGGAGCCCCGCCGGCGACUGCUACUCCUCCACCGCCUCGCCUCUUCCUCCUCCUCGCCUUCCCAUCGCUCGUCUUCAGGCCGCAGCGGUGGUUCCCGAUCUGAGCCGUCUUCAGGUGCGUGGAGCGACGGAGGUCGGCUCCCUCCUUCUCCACGGUCGCGCGGCGGGAGAGGAGUCAGCCCCGGUGCUCUGCCUCUCCAUCCGUCUCCGCAAGCUAUCGUCCGAUGCCGUCGUUGCCCGCCAUCAUCUUCAUCUUGCUCGCUGCCUGCUUGCUAGAGAGCCAUGGCUUUCCUCGCUGUAGGUUCUGGCGUUCUGCCAUGGCUUUUCUUGUCCCGUCCCACUCGCCUCCCCCUCCUCGUCACCCUCCUCUCUCUCUCUCUCUUUCUCGCUCACUGCCAAGAAGCCGCCGGAGGAGGAACUCGACCUGGACGACCGCCGCUGGACGAAGAGCCCCGAAAAAAUCCCCCAACCACCCCUGCGCCACCGCCUCUUCACCUUCGACCACGGGUUGCAACGUACGGUCAGAGGACCAAGUUGGAACAUACUAGGCAAAUGGGCCUUGCCGUGAGUCGUGGUGCAACAGUGACCUCGAUGGGCAGGGCAAUGGUCAGAUACGAGUCAGCACCGAAGAUGACUGUAAGCACUCAAAAAAGUUUACCACGCUAGAGCUAUGUCAGGUUGUAUGAGGGCAGUUAAUGAAUAUACUUGUGACACUUAAACUCUCAGGCAAGCUUGCUGGUAGGAUCAAGUACUCUACCAGGUCUAGGGCGUAGGUGGUAAGGGAAGGAUGGAGGGAGACGUGGCGAGGAUCGGGCGCGCCGGCGGCAGGGCGCCGUCGCGGCUAGGAGAAGGGCGGCGGCUAGGGCUGUUGGCGGCUAGGGUUCCGGCUCCUCAGGGAGCCGGGCAAUAGGAGAUAAUAUUCUUCUUAUUGCUUGCCUUCAAAAAGAGUCUUACAACCUAUAUUUAUAUCCUAGAUAACUUGUAGAAGAAUCAACCUAAGAUAACUUGCCUAAGAUAACUUGCCUAAUCUGAAAAUAAAAACUAAGAUAACUUGCGGGCCUAAGCCGGCCGGCCAUAACACUUACUCUCAGGUAAAUUACUAAUCAUUCAAAUCACUAAUCAGGUAAAGCACAAUAAUAAGCCUACCAGUCAUAGAAGAGGAAAAAUAACCACGAAGUGAAAAUAGAUUGUGAAAAUUAGACAGCUCAGACGAUGUAAAAGACAGAAUCGGACGACCAGCGAGUUUUCAAUCUGGGGGAGCUCGGAGUAGCCGAGUUGCCCAGCCAGAUUAAUUUUUAUUGGGCAUUCAGAUUCUUAUUUUGCGUUUCGUAGAUUUUUAGCUGGGUGUAUAAACAUACACACACACACUGACUUCUGAUUUCAGUGACGGGGGUAAAUUAUUGUGCCAUAUAUAUUGUUGCCAUAUUUAGUAAUCAUGCAUAUACAUGUACAUUGGUUUUUAUCAAAUGUACAUGUGCUCCUGUAGCAUAUCUUCAGGUUUGGGGAUUUAAAUGCCCUUUGUUUUGUGUACCAGGUGGUUAACUGAGAUUUUGUUUGCUUAUUCUACUGUUUUUUUAGCAAUGCCAACAAACAUGGUUUAUGAUGAUAUUGGUGGUCUGAAGCUUUAGAUCGUCGGGGCUGCUCUCAUUUGUUCAAUUUGCCAGUGAUCCUUCCAUUCUACUGCUGCUCAUUAUUAUCAUAUGAAGGAGGUGUUCUUCCGUUACAAUACUCCUGACGUGUUCCAUGAAAUGUCUAUGAGCUGGUAUGUUGUUCAUUCUCUUUUUUUUCUUCUUGCAGGCUGAUCUAUGUUCUCUGUUUGUUGGGUCCUCCGUGUCAUUAUGAACAAGGAACAUGUAUAUCCUUUCAAGUUCACUGAUGCGGUUACCACUACAACACACGUCCCUCCAAGGACCAAGGGUGGGCAUGAUCUUCUACAAGGUUGUUGUCUGUGACUAUUAGUACGGGAUCAACUUUGCGGUGUCCCCAUCGCUUCAAGUCAAGCUAAUAGAGCUAAAUGGGUAUCCAAUUUUAGAAAGCACACUUAAGAAACAUGAACACGUGUCUUUAGAUCCUAUGGAGCAUUCCUAAUAAUGACCAUCUAUUUAACUAUCUUGGAUCAUUACCAUUACAAAAUGCAGCAUGGCAUUCAUAAUGUUCAGUUAUUCAUAAAUGUGGCAUUUAAUUAUUCUCCUGGCAUGAUAUUUAGGGCCAGUUCUUUUGGGCGAUUCUACCAGAAUCGCCCCCCUCCCCAGCUUCUCCCAGAAUAAGAACUGGCCCUUAAGCAUGUUGCAUAUACCAAUCUGUUGAUAAUUCAAUUAUUGAUUCUGAUGUACAAACAUGCAAAACCAUUGCCUGUUUGGAUGAUGCACAUGAGUAUGUUUUUGUUAGUUUUCGGUGAUGUACGUCGUGAAGCGGGACGGGCGGACGGAGACGGUGCACUUUGACAAGAUCACGGUGCGGCUCAAGAAGCUCAGCAAUGGGCUCAGCCAGGAGCACCGCGACCCCGUGCUCGGUCUGCGUCAGGGUAUACAUGGGCGUCACCACCAGCCAGCUCGACGAGCUCGCCGCCGAGACCGCCGCCGCGCUCACCGCCUCCCAGCCUGACUAUGCCUCCCUCGCGGCGAGGAUUGUUGUGUCCAACCUGCCGCCAAGUGGAAAUAGUUUGUGUGGCGCUCGUAAAUAGAGAGCAUUCUGGUAGAAAGCUGAAAGAUUAGCAGAGACUGGCUAAAUUCUGAACAUGUUCCAUGUGAGAGAAAUAGCAUGUUGAUUUCAUCUUGAAAUAAUCAUAGCUGAGGGACGAGCUUCGUAACUAAGGGUCAUGUGUAGAGCUGAAGGAAGAAGUUGCGAGGCUUGGAACUCUCCUUGUGAAGGGCUCAGGGACAGCAGUGAGGACAAUGCCUCUUUAGUUGUAAUUGUGAUACUCCUGAUCUGCAAGUAAACACUCCUGUGAUACUAAAUGUUGGUUGUUAGUACAGAGGUGAUGCCAUUAGUUGGUUCUUUGGUACUCCCUCUGUCCGGAAAAGCUUGUCCCUCGAAUGGAUGUAUCUAGCACCAAGUUAGUGCUAGAUACAUGGUGCUAGAUACAUCCAUUUGAGAAACAAGCUUGGGACAAGCUUUUUUGGACGGAGGGAGUAUUGAUUUCAUGAUUUGUGGUUAAUACAUGAUGUAAUACAAUCUACACUGCAUUAUAUUUCCAGUUACAUAUCUUA